GAUGAACGCUGGCGGCGUGCCUAAUACAUGCAAGUCGAGCGAACGGACGAGAAGCUUGCUUCUCUGAUGUUAGCGGCGGACGGGUGAGUAACACGUGGAUAACCUACCUAUAAGACUGGGAUAACUUCGGGAAACCGGAGCUAAUACCGGAUAAUAUUUUGAACCGCAUGGUUCAAAAGUGAAAGACGGUCUUGCUGUCACUUAUAGAUGGAUCCGCGCUGCAUUAGCUAGUUGGUAAGGUAACGGCUUACCAAGGCAACGAUGCAUAGCCGACCUGAGAGGGUGAUCGGCCACACUGGAACUGAGACACGGUCCAGACUCCUACGGGAGGCAGCAGUAGGGAAUCUUCCGCAAUGGGCGAAAGCCUGACGGAGCAACGCCGCGUGAGUGAUGAAGGUCUUCGGAUCGUAAAACUCUGUUAUUAGGGAAGAACAUAUGUGUAAGUAACUGUGCGCAUCUUGACGGUACCUAAUCAGAAAGCCACGGCUAACUACGUGCCAGCAGCCGCGGUAAUACGUAGGUGGCAAGCGUUAUCCGGAAUUAUUGGGCGUAAAGCGCGCGUAGGCGGUUUUUUAGUCUGAUGUGAAAGCCCACGGCUCAACCGUGGAGGGUCAUUGGAAACUGGAAAACUUGAGUGCAGAAGAGGAAAGUGGAAUUCCAUGUGUAGCGGUGAAAUGCGCAGAGAUAUGGAGGAACACCAGUGGCGAAGGCGACUUUCUGGUCUGUAACUGACGCUGAUGUGCGAAAGCGUGGGGAUCAAACAGGAUUAGAUACCCUGGUAGUCCACGCCGUAAACGAUGAGUGCUAAGUGUUAGGGGGUUUCCGCCCCUUAGUGCUGCAGCUAACGCAUUAAGCACUCCGCCUGGGGAGUACGACCGCAAGGUUGAAACUCAAAGGAAUUGACGGGGACCCGCACAAGCGGUGGAGCAUGUGGUUUAAUUCGAAGCAACGCGAAGAACCUUACCAAAUCUUGACAUCCUUUGACAACUCUAGAGAUAGAGCCUUCCCCUUCGGGGGACAAAGUGACAGGUGGUGCAUGGUUGUCGUCAGCUCGUGUCGUGAGAUGUUGGGUUAAGUCCCGCAACGAGCGCAACCCUUAAGCUUAGUUGCCAUCAUUAAGUUGGGCACUCUAAGUUGACUGCCGGUGACAAACCGGAGGAAGGUGGGGAUGACGUCAAAUCAUCAUGCCCCUUAUGAUUUGGGCUACACACGUGCUACAAUGGACAAUACAAAGGGCAGCGAAACCGCGAGGUCAAGCAAAUCCCAUAAAGUUGUUCUCAGUUCGGAUUGUAGUCUGCAACUCGACUACAUGAAGCUGGAAUCGCUAGUAAUCGUAGAUCAGCAUGCUACGGUGAAUACGUUCCCGGGUCU
RNAcentral lists this ribosomal RNA (1371 nucleotides) under uncultured bacterium. RNAcentral's name for it is "bacterial SSU rRNA". It matches the Rfam family "Bacterial small subunit ribosomal RNA", at positions 28 to 1381 of the family's 1533-position model. The record is from RNAcentral.